UAUGGCCACAUCACGUUGAAAUGCAGACUCUCGUACGAUCACCGAAGUUAAGCAACCCCGAGCUUGGUCAGUACCUAGACGGGUGUCCGCUUGGGAAUUGCAGGUGCUGUAAG
This is a non-coding RNA of Acanthosepion pharaonis, 113 nucleotides long. NCBI's taxonomy places the organism in Eukaryota, Metazoa, Mollusca, Cephalopoda, Sepiida, Sepiidae. The record is from the annotation of a GenBank genome assembly.